This 492-nucleotide ribosomal RNA is filed under the name uncultured bacterium. RNAcentral describes it as "partial 16S ribosomal RNA". It matches the Rfam family "Bacterial small subunit ribosomal RNA", at positions 29 to 507 of the family's 1533-position model. The record is from RNAcentral.
AUUGAACGCUGGCGGCAUGCUUUACACAUGCAAGUCGAACGGUAACAGGCCUUCGGGUGCUGACGAGUGGCGAACGGGUGAGUAAUGCAUCGGAACGUACCCAGAGGUGGGGGAUAACGCAGCGAAAGCUGUGCUAAUACCGCAUGUGAUCUGAGGAUGAAAGCGGGGGACCGAGCAGCAAUGUUUGGACUCGCGCCUUUGGAGCGGCCGAUGUCGGAUUAGCUAGUUGGUGGGGUAAAGGCCUACCAAGGCGACGAUCCGUAGCUGGUCUGAGAGGACGACCAGCCACACUGAGACUGAGACACGGCCCAGACUCCUACGGGAGGCAGCAGUGGGGAAUUUUGGACAAUGGGCGCAAGCCUGAUCCAGCAAUGCCGCGUGCGGGAAGAAGGCCUUCGGGUUGUAAACCGCUUUUGGCAGGAACGAAACGGUGUCCGCUAAUACCGGGCGCUAAUGACGGUACCUGCAGAAUAAGCACCGGCUAACUACGUG